UGCAGACAAAAGAGAAUAGCCUACUAAAUAAGACAGAGACAUACAAUUAUAAAACUGAACACAAGAUGAAAUAUUGACGAUAACGUUACUGCUUUCACUUGCACACAGUGUGUGUGUGGAGGAGAGGGAGAGUGUUUAACCAAUGAUUCUGGACAAUGUGAGAGGCUUUGGAGGCAUUUGACAUGUGCAGCUCUUCAGGUAGGUUUAUUCAGCGAUUACCGGUCAUAUUCUACAUAUAUAUCAGCUAUUAUUUCGGACUUUAACUUAACUUCUAGAUGUUUGAAGCAUGCAUCAGCGGGAUAGACACCGCUUCACUGACAGUGCCUUCCGUGCGCGAUGUGUUGAGGAGCACGCGCAAUCCGUGAACGGAGCCAGGCGAAGGUAUAAGUGAGGAUUACAGAGCGCCAGGCAGCAACUCGCGGCUGCCCUCAAGAGUCUGACACACUUUGGGAAGUGUUUGAGCAACAACAUCAUCAACAGUAGAAGGCAGCAGAAUCCUGUUUUGUGAGCCAGAUACCAGCACUGAUCACUAAUAUGGAUAAGCUGACUGUUGUUGUGCUGCUGUGUGUUGCUGAACUCACUCAGUGCUUUCCAGUCACAGCAAGUCAAGGUGGACACCAAUCUGUGCAGGUGUUUUUCUGCAAGGAUCCAGGGUGUGCUGCUCGUGUGAGAUACAUAUUUUGUAACAACAUGAAGUUGAACUUCAAUCGCAUUCACAUCACAGAGUGUUCAGGCCCUCCACCACCCAAUAAUGUCUGCCAGCAUGACGGUCGGGCCUUCGUUUCCACAGAUACAGCUGGUUCCUGUGAGUUUGAAGAUAGCGUGGAUUAUAUGGACACUGAAAAAU
Molecule: non-coding RNA, 847 nt
Organism: Epinephelus lanceolatus (giant grouper)
Lineage: Eukaryota; Metazoa; Chordata; Actinopteri; Perciformes; Serranidae
Source: RefSeq, a predicted model, not a curated record